Molecule: ribosomal RNA, 164 nt
Filed under: Brachypodium mexicanum
Lineage: Eukaryota; Viridiplantae; Streptophyta; Magnoliopsida; Poales; Poaceae
Description: 5.8S ribosomal RNA
Rfam family: 5.8S ribosomal RNA
About the family: 5.8S ribosomal RNA (5.8S rRNA) is a component of the large subunit of the eukaryotic ribosome.
Source: RNAcentral
GAUACGACUCUCGGCAACGGAUAUCUCGGCUCUCGCAUCGAUGAAGAACGUAGCGAAAUGCGAUACCUGGUGUGAAUUGCAGAAUCCCGCGAACCAUCGAGUCUUUGAACGCAAGUUGCGCCCGAGGCCACCCGGUCGAGGGCACGCCUGCCUGGGCGUCACGC